This is a long non-coding RNA of Telopea speciosissima, 218 nucleotides long. RefSeq lists it as uncharacterized. The record is from RefSeq and is a predicted model, not a curated record. The transcript has 5 exons. Lineage: Eukaryota; Viridiplantae; Streptophyta; Magnoliopsida; Proteales; Proteaceae.
ACAACUUGGAUAAACCUAAUCUAAGUAAACUACUAACAAAUAAAAUAAUACCUCCUCUAUAUGUCUAACCAUUGGGCCCACAAAAAAAUUCAAACCUAAUCUAUUUCUAAUUUAAAAAUUAUCCUACAGUUUGGGUCCAUGGUAUUAUAAUGCUCCUAAUUAACAAAUACAGAUCCAAAACCCUGAUUUUGAGAUGAAACCACAUCAAACAGAUCUGA